GGAGGGUGCAAGCGUUGUCCGGAAUCACUGGGUGUAAAGGGUGUGUAGGCGGGGCUGUAAGUCAGAGGUGAAAUCCUGCGGCUCAACCGUAGAACUGCCUUUGAUACUGCAGCUCUUGAGUCUCGGAGAGGUCAUUAGAAUUCGUGGUGUAGCGGUGAAAUGCGUAGAUAUCACGAGGAAUACCAGAGGCGUAGGCGGAUGACUGGACGAGUACUGGCGCUGAGGCACGAAAGCGUGGGGAGCAAACAGGAUUAGAUACCCUGGUAGUCCCACGCCCGUAAACGAUGAAUGCUCGGUGUUGCCCCGGAUUUUUUAGGGGGCAGUGCCUAAGCUAACCGCGUUAAGCAUUCCACCUGGGGUAGUACGCUCGCAAGAGUG
RNAcentral lists this ribosomal RNA (378 nucleotides) under uncultured organism. RNAcentral's name for it is "partial 16S ribosomal RNA". It matches the Rfam family "Bacterial small subunit ribosomal RNA", at positions 527 to 896 of the family's 1533-position model. The record is from RNAcentral.